This 408-nucleotide ribosomal RNA is filed under the name uncultured bacterium. RNAcentral's name for it is "partial 16S ribosomal RNA". It matches the Rfam family "Bacterial small subunit ribosomal RNA", at positions 28 to 526 of the family's 1533-position model. The record is from RNAcentral.
GACGAACGCUGGCGGCGUGCUUAACACAUGCAAGUCGAACGAAGUGGCGAACGGGUGAGUAACGCGUAAUCAACCUGCCCUUCAGAGGGGGACAACAGUUGGAAACGACUGCUAAUACCGCAUACCGAAGGAGGGGAUUGCGUCUGAUGAGCUAGUUGGAGGGGUAACGGCCAACCAAGGCGCUGAACGGUAGCCCGUCUGAGAGGAUUAACGGCCACAGUGGAACUGAUGCACGGCCCAGACUCCUACGGGAGGCAGCAGUGGGGAAUCUUCCGAAAUGGGCGAAAGUCUGACGGACCAACGCCGCGUGAGUGAAGAAGGGUUUCGGAGCGUAAAGCUCUGUAGUUAGAGAAGCGGUAUCUAACCAGAAAGCCACGGCUAACUACGUGCCAGCAGCCGCGGUAAUAC